This 2252-nucleotide long non-coding RNA is filed under the name Setaria viridis. Its description in RNAcentral is "long non-coding RNA (SVIR_LNC011187)". Lineage: Eukaryota; Viridiplantae; Streptophyta; Magnoliopsida; Poales; Poaceae. The record is from RNAcentral.
AGCUCCCGUCACUCUUGAUUGUGAACAUCCAGGUAUCCCCCUGCAUAUUGCAUGGAAAUCGGUAUAGCUUGAUUAUCAUGUGAUUCUAACAUUACAAGCUUUCUUUUUGUUUCAAUUACAGAUGCCUACUUAUCCUGCUUCUAUGUUCCUCGGUGACAGCGACGGAGAAGGCUUUAGCCUGGUCUUGUACUUCAGGAUAUCCGAAUACUAUGACAAAGAGGUUUCGGAACAUUUCAAGGAUUCUAUCAUGGUUAGCCUUUUCCAAUUCACAAUCUAUACUUCCCAAACAGAAGUAUUUUCUGGAAGCUAACAGAAUCUUUCUAUCAACAGAGAUUUUUUGAGAAUGAAUCUGAGAAGGUAAAAGGGUUCACAUCAGAAUCUACCAUCAUGUACAGAGAUCGAUUGAAAAUCAUGGCUGGAUUGGUUAACCCAGAUGACCUCCAGUUGGGUUCCACGGAGAGGAAGCUGGUCCAAGCAUACAAUGAGAAGCCAGUCCUUUCACGGCCCCAACAUAAUUUCUACGAGGUAAAGAGAUGUCCUUGUUUGAAUUGUAAAGUAACACACUCAAUGUUGUUAGGUGGUAAUCAGAUUGUAAAGGUACGUGGUAUUCUGAGAAACCACCAGUUAAUGUUUCAUCUCUUACGUCACCAGGGAGAGAAUUACUUUGAGGUAGACCUUGAUAUACACCGGUUCAGCUACAUCGCUAGGAAGGGACUGGACUCAUUUAGGGAACGCCUAAAGAAUGGCAUCCUCGAUUUGGGUUUGACAAUUCAGGUAAGUUUCCCUUUAGAUUCUCCACCAAAUAUGUAUCUAUCAAUCUUCUUCAGCUUCUUCUACUUAUUUGCGGACAACUUAUGUCCUUAAGUGUUUCUUUGGGUGUGAGCCAAAUUUCAGAUUCGUCAAAUGCUGUUUAACUUGUUAAUCAUAGGGUUCGCCAUUGUUUUGCAUAUGCAAUUUCCACAAAAAAGUACAUCAUAAGCAUGAAUAACUAACACAUAAGUAUGAAUAACUAACAUGGCAGUUUAUCUGGAAGUGCGCUUGAUACUGAAUCCAUCUUAAUUGUAAUUAAUUUAUUACCUUGCAGGCCCAGAAGCAAGAGGAGCUCCCUGAGCAGGUCCUCUGCUGCGUUAGGCUGAACAAGAUUGAAUUUGUUAACCAUGGGCAAGUUCCAACAAUAGUCACAGUUGAUGAAAAGUGACACAUUUGAUCAUAGCGAUUGCAUGUGCGAGCUGUUGGAAGGCUAGACCCAUUCCAAUUGGUAAGGAGAGAUGAGAAACAGGAAAAAAACUGAUGACCACACAUCUUAGUUUCUGCUUAAAGUGCUGGCCCUUCUGUCAGCUUUUAAGCAUGGAAGUUUUCCUGUAACCGUAAUAAUGUAUACACAAGCCAAUACGACCCGCUUCAGGUGUUGGUCAUGAUUCUAACCUUUUCCACCCGAGUUGCCGUUUACAACAUGUCACUUUCAGACGCAGAUAAACAUUAAACCUGACAAGAUUAAAUGGCCAUCAGACCGACAUGAACAUUCCAUGACAAGAUGCUGAGUUGCUGACAGAAAUCAUGAAUAGUCAAACCUAGUUUCUAAUAUAUAUUUCUGAGCCACUUGCCUGCUUACACUCCGAGCAGAUUGUAUGCAGUGAAACCAUGGAGGUCAACCAGCCAUAGCUUUCAGCCUCCAAGAAAUUGGCGGACGAAUUUAUCGUCAUCUGCAUGAAUGUGUAUAAGUUAGCCAGCGCUGCAAUUCGCAAUCACAUCGCUAUAUAUUGCAGCAUGGCCAUCAUACCAUGCUUGAGAGUAUCCAGGUGAGAGAAUGUGCAGAACAUUGAGCAGCACUGAGAGUACAGAAUCAGAAUGGCAAAAGCGAAGGGGGGCGUACCUCAUCCUAUUCACGGACCAGCAGCCUCCGCAACCCACCAGUGCAGACUAGCUAGUGCCCCGCGGGAGCCAUCAAUCACGAACACACCUGCAUGUUCCCCUCGGAGCGGCGGACCGCGCCGUGCCCGUGCUCUUGACAAACGGGCGGGGGGAGCGAAUGCGCGGACGGACCUACGGCCCAGGGAGGCGUGCAGCAGACCAUGAGAGUAGAGGGCGCCGCCGCCGCAUGAGGGCGCUGGCAGACGUGUGUGUCCGGGUCGGUGAUGGCUGGCGAGGCGGAGGCCGCUGCCCCGGGGAGGCAUUUUGUCGAACGAAUGAGCGGAGGGAGGGCCGCGCCGGGCGAAAGGCUAGCAUGACGAUUGAGAUGUCUGAAGAUGCGG